GUUGGCGGGCGGAUCUAUACAUGCAAGUCGAGCGGACAGAUGGGAGCUUGCUCCCUGAUGUUAGCGGCGGACGGGUGAGUAACACGUGGGUAACCUGCCUGUAAGACUGGGAUAACUCCGGGAAACCGGGGCUAAUACCGGAUGGUUGUCUGAACCGCAUGGUUCAGACAUAAAAGGUGGCUUCGGCUACCACUUACAGAUGGACCCGCGGCGCAUUAGCUAGUUGGUGAGGUAACGGCUCACCAAGGCGACGAUGCGUAGCCGACCUGAGAGGGUGAUCGGCCACACUGGGACUGAGACACGGCCCAGACUCCUACGGGAGGCAGCAGUAGGGAAUCUUCCGCAAUGGACGAAAGUCUGACGGAGCAACGCCGCGUGAGUGAUGAAGGUUUUCGGAUCGUAAAGCUCUGUUGUUAGGGAAGAACAAGUGCCGUUCAAAUAGGGCGGCACCUUGACGGUACCUAACCAGAAAGCCACGGCUAACUACGUGCCAGCAGCCGCGGUAAUACGUAGGUGGCAAGCGUUGUCCGGAAUUAUUGGGCGUAAAGGGCUCGCAGGCGGUUUCUUAAGUCUGAUGUGAAAGCCCCCGGCUCAACCGGGGAGGGUCAUUGGAAACUGGGGAACUUGAGUGCAGAAGAGGAGAGUGGAAUUCCACGUGUAGCGGUGAAAUGCGUAGAGAUGUGGAGGAACACCAGUGGCGAAGGCGACUCUCUGGUCUGUAACUGACGCUGAGGAGCGAAAGCGUGGGGAGCGAACAGGAUUAGAUACCCUGGUAGUCCACGCCGUAAACGAUGAGUGCUAAGUGUUAGGGGGUUUCCGCCCCUUAGUGCUGCAGCUAACGCAUUAAGCACUCCGCCUGGGGGAGUACGGUCGCAAGACUGAAACUCAAGGGAAUUGACGGGGGCCCGCACAAGCGGUGGGAGCAUGUGGUUUAAUUUCGAAGCACGCGGAAGAACUUUACCAGGUGCUGGACAUCUCUGACAUCCUAGAGAUAGACGUUCGCUCCGGGGCAGAGUGACAGUUGUGCAUGGUGUCGUCAGCUCGGUUCGUUGGAGAAAU
RNAcentral lists this ribosomal RNA (1059 nucleotides) under Bacillus amyloliquefaciens. RNAcentral's name for it is "bacterial SSU rRNA". It matches the Rfam family "Bacterial small subunit ribosomal RNA", at positions 35 to 1075 of the family's 1533-position model. Lineage: Bacteria; Bacillati; Bacillota; Bacilli; Caryophanales; Bacillaceae. The record is from RNAcentral.